GAAUUACUAUGUAGUAAGUUUUUGCGGAGUGGAUUGUGUUCGUUGUUCAAAACAAGCAGUUCUCGUGUUGACAAGUGCGAUUUGAGUCAAAUUUAGUCGUAUAUAUAACUGUAGUCAUCUAUAGUUCCAUGUAGUUAUAUAUAUUUAUAUACAAGCUAUGUGGGUUUUCUGAUGUAUAGUGAUCUUGAUGAUUGUGUUUUUUUUUCACUUUUUUGUUAGGCA
RNAcentral lists this long non-coding RNA (222 nucleotides) under Erythranthe guttata (spotted monkey flower). RNAcentral describes it as "long non-coding RNA (EGUT_LNC001674)". The record is from RNAcentral. Lineage: Eukaryota; Viridiplantae; Streptophyta; Magnoliopsida; Lamiales; Phrymaceae.